AUGGGGUGGUGCUCACCGGAAGCCACGGAAGAAGUUGAUGCGCACGACGAGGGACAUGUAGAGGAAGAGCGCCAUGAAGAAGAAGGUGCGCGCGACGGCGUCGAAGCUGCCGUAGAUGGCCGCCCAGGCGAGGCUGGCGGCGGACGGCGUGGCGAUGAACAUGGAGUAGACCGGGUGCAGCUCCAUGGGCAGCGCCUCGUUGGUGGGCAGCCGCUGGUAGAGCGUGACGAAGACGACGAUGUAGUGGGACACCCCGAUGGCCCACAGGAACUUGCCGGCCUCCUCCCACCCGACCCUCGCCGCCAGGAUGGCGCCCACGAAGUUGCCCACCACGGACAGGUGCGACGACGGGUUGGCCACCUUGCACAGCCUCCGCUUGCCGCCCGACAGCCACUGCCCGUAGAUCUUGAGCUCCAGCGCGAACAGCGGCGCCACGAACGCGCACCACACGGCCGGGUGCAGCCUCGCCGGCGCGAAGGCGCGGGGGAGGCCGAUGGCGAGGAACAUGGCGGCGAUGGACGGCGUGAAGAAGAAGUUGACGCGCACCGGGUGGAAGAACUCGCGCCGGAUGGCCUCGAAGUAGAAGACGCACUUGAGCGCGUAGGUGACGGACGUGGCCACCAGCACCGCCGUCGCCAGCAGCCACACGGCGACGUUGAUCAUGGGCGUCACCCGGAGGAACCCCAUCGCCGGGCUCGCCGCCAGCGCGCCCCACAGGAUGGCCUGGCUGCCGAGCCCCAGGCAGACCCCGAAGCAGCCGAUCGGGAACCGCAGCAGGAACGGCCACACCUCGUCCUUGGGCAGCAGGAUGUCCUCGUAGUCCUACGUGCAAACAGUUCGGUCGGCAUGAUUUUUUCAGCGACCGGCAAGGACAAAUGGAUGGAUGGAUGA
Molecule: ribosomal RNA, 891 nt
Filed under: Triticum aestivum (bread wheat)
Lineage: Eukaryota; Viridiplantae; Streptophyta; Magnoliopsida; Poales; Poaceae
Description: partial small subunit ribosomal RNA
Source: RNAcentral